Molecule: ribosomal RNA, 253 nt
Filed under: uncultured bacterium
Lineage: Bacteria
Description: partial 16S ribosomal RNA
Rfam family: Bacterial small subunit ribosomal RNA
Source: RNAcentral
UACAGAGGGUGCAAACGUUGUUCGGAAUUACUGGGCGUAAAGCGCGUGUAGGCUGCUCGGAAAGUCGGAUGUGAAAGCCCUGGGCUUAACCUAGGAAGUGCAUUCGAAACUUCCGAGCUGGAGUUCUGGAGAGGAAGGCGGAAUUCUCGGUGUAGAGGUGAAAUUCGUAGAUAUCGAGAGGAACACCAGUGGCGAAGGCGGUUGCCUGGAGCUUUGCUGACGCUGAGGCGCGAAGGCGUGGGGAGCGAUCCGG